Unclassified non-coding RNA from Drosophila arizonae, 2052 nucleotides. The record is from RefSeq and is a predicted model, not a curated record. Lineage: Eukaryota; Metazoa; Arthropoda; Insecta; Diptera; Drosophilidae.
GUGUGACCAUUGUUAGACGAUGUUGCCACAAUCGACGAAAAUUGUGAUAUUGAAGUGGAAGAAUUAAACUUGGUGGCAAGAAAGUCGCGAAAGAGUGUUGACUAUUGUAAGAAAAAAGUAUAAUUUGAACGCGCCAAAAGUAAUUUACCAACUAGCGAAUUGUUUACAAAUAUUUUGCAGUACCCGGAGACCGCAAUUCAUGCGAAAAAGAUUUCCUGCAAAACGCAACUUACAUCUGUCACACGCACACUAAUAAAAAGGAAAAAAGAAAAAAAAUUGGUGUGCUGGAGGAGAGGUACGCCACGCCGCGCCGCAUUGAGAAAACAACAAAUUGUGUUUGUUGCAACGAAGUCGGAGCGACGAUUAACUUUAAUUAACUAAAUACACAGAAAUAUAUAAUUUUAUCCAAGCAUAUAGUAUAUAUAUAUAUUAGUAUAUACAUAUAUACACAGCGAUAUGAACUCGAAGCGUAUUAAAUACACUACGCUGUCCAGCCCGACAGAUGCGCCGUCCAAGGAGGAAAUUGUCCCAGUUAUCAUACAGCAUGAAACUGACGACGUAGAUGGCAAUGGAGAGACAACACAGUAUACAUAUGCCUAUACGACUACUGAGGAUGACGACACUGAAACGGCUGUGGUGACUCUUAGCGAUCGUGAUCACGAGGCACUGGCCAAUGCCCAGGAGGUGAUCAUCGAUGAGAACGGGCAUGCCGUCACCCUGCAGCAGCUGGUGGAGAACAGCACCGUGGAGGAGGUGGAGACUAUUGAGCAGGGCGAUGGCACCCACACCAUAUUGCACAUUGUGCCCAAUAUAGGCGACGAAGAGGAAGAUGACGAGGAUGAGGAUGGGGAGGCCAUCGAGCACGAUGAGGACGAGAUUGUGGGCGUGGAGCAGGAAGAGGGCGAUGAGCAGGACGAGGAGGAGGAUGAAAUGGGCUCGAUUGUCUUUGAGGGCACCAUCGAUCACAGUCCCGAAUCCGAUUCGCAGUCACGCAAUAAGACUUUCUAUUGUCCCAAUUGUGGCAAUUGCUAUAGUGCCGCCGGCUCCUUGAAGCUACACAUGCGCGCCUGUUUGCGCCAGCGCAACGAGGUCUCUGCCGAGGACCGCAAGUGCAAGGUGUGCAGCAAGAUCUUCAACUCGGUGGCCUACCUCAAGGAGCACAUGAUGCGUCACACUGGCGAACAGCCGCAUCGCUGCACGCGCUGCUAUCGCAAGUUCGUCGACGAGGCCAAAUACAAUGCGCACAUGGACUCGCACAAGCACCAGGACAAGCUGGAAGCUGAGGCUGAGGCAUUGGCUGCUCAGCACGGCGGCAAGAAGGUGGUCGUCAAGGAGUUCACCUGCUCCUUCUGUUCACAGAACUUUACCGUCGUGUUCGAUGUGGGCCAGGUGAAGCGCCGCUAUGCCUGCGACGCUUGUCGCGACAAAUACUCAAAUGCCGAGGCAUUGCGCCAGCACAAGCAGCAGGUGGAGGAGAAGCGUGAGUUCAGCUGCGAGCGUUGCGGCCGCAAGUUCGUCUUUGAGGGCUUCCUUCAGCGUCAUCUGCCCACCUGUGAUGGCAGCAUCAAGCGUCGCCGCGACAUGAAGUAGAGGUGGCAGCAACGUGAUGGCAGUUGGCGGCGUCGGCGCAAAAGAUCUGAUAGAGCACUCGAAUGUGAUUUUGUGGAGGAACAGGAGGAGCAGCAGCAGCAGCAAAAGCGGCAACAUUUGACGUCCGGCCAACUUAAUAACAAACACGCGAAAUUUUUUAUCGCCCAGACGCUAAUACGUCACGAUACGCGGCCAGCGCUUACGUAAAAAGUUUGUCGUUUAGCGUAGCGUUUCUGCCCUUUUGGCAAGUGCCUUAUGUGCGUGUGUCAAUGUGAGUGUAUAUACAUAUGUGUGUAUGCAUGUGUUUGUGAGGGUGGCAGGCAAAGGUUGAGCUUUCUGCUCUGAACAGCUGAUCCCACGAUUGCAUAAUAAGAAUGUCAUUCAUUUGUACCCAAUUUGAAUUGGCAUUCGAACUCAAAUUCGAAUUCGAAAUCAAGUUCACAUACAUAGUAUGCAAAAAAA